Molecule: ribosomal RNA, 256 nt
Filed under: uncultured bacterium
Lineage: Bacteria
Description: partial 16S ribosomal RNA
Rfam family: Bacterial small subunit ribosomal RNA
Source: RNAcentral
UACGUAGGGUGGCAAGCGUUGUCCGGAUUUAUUGGGUUUAAAGGGUGCGUAGGCGGCCCUGUAAGUCAGUGGUGAAAUACUCUAGCUUAACUAGAGGGGUGCCAAUGAUACUGCAGGGCUUGAGUACAGAUGAGGUAGGCGGAAUUGACGGUGUAGCGGUGAAAUGCAUAGAUAUCGUCAAGAACACCUAUAGCGAAGGCAGCUUACUGGGCUGUAACUGACGCUGGAGGCACGAAAGUGUGGGGAGUCAAACAGG